AUUGAACGCUGGCGGAAUGCUUUACACAUGCAAGUCGAACGGCAGCACGGACUUCGGUCUAGUGGCGAGUGGCGAACGGGUGAGUAAUGUAUCGGAACGUGCCCAGUCGUGGGGGAUAACGUAGUGAAAAUUACGCUAAUACCGCAUACGAUCUAUGGAUGAAAGCGGGGGAUCGCAAGACCUCGCGCGAUUGGAGCGGCCGAUAUCAGAUUAGGUAGUUGGUGGGGUAAAGGCCCACCAAGCCAACGAUCUGUAGCUGGUCUGAGAGGACGACCAGCCACACUGGAACUGAGACACGGUCCAGACUCCUACGGGAGGCAGCAGUGGGGAAUUUGGGACAAAGGGCGAAAGCCUGAUCCAGCCAUUCCGCGUGCAGGAUGAAGGCCCUCGGGUUGUAAACUGCUUUUGUACAGAACGAAAAGGUUUCUACUAAUACUAGGAGCUCAUGACGGUACUGUAAGAAUAAGCACCGGCUAACUACGUGCCAGCCGCCGCCGUAA
Molecule: ribosomal RNA, 500 nt
Filed under: uncultured bacterium
Lineage: Bacteria
Description: partial 16S ribosomal RNA
Rfam family: Bacterial small subunit ribosomal RNA
Source: RNAcentral